RNAcentral lists this non-coding RNA (103 nucleotides) under Listeria aquatica. RNAcentral describes it as "TPP sequence". It matches the Rfam family "TPP riboswitch aptamer (THI element)". From Rfam's summary of the family: Vitamin B(1) in its active form thiamin pyrophosphate (TPP) is an essential coenzyme that is synthesised by coupling of pyrimidine and thiazole moieties in bacteria. The previously detected thiamin-regulatory element, thi box was extended, resulting in a new, highly conserved RNA secondary structure, the THI element, which is widely distributed in eubacteria and also occurs in some archaea. Lineage: Bacteria; Bacillati; Bacillota; Bacilli; Caryophanales; Listeriaceae. The record is from RNAcentral.
CGUUACCACAGGGGGAGCUUCUAGCUGAGAUUGAGUCUUCGAGACUCUGACCCUUUGAACCUGUUCGUUAAAACGAGCGUAGGGAUUGUGGCGAUUGCACUUU